Molecule: long non-coding RNA, 709 nt
Filed under: Elaeis guineensis (African oil palm)
Lineage: Eukaryota; Viridiplantae; Streptophyta; Magnoliopsida; Arecales; Arecaceae
Description: long non-coding RNA (EGUI_LNC051695)
Source: RNAcentral
UAUUUUAGGUAAAGAUAAAUGUUAUGUUAGAAUUUAGAAUAAAAAAUUUUUCAAAUGCACCCUAGCGAUCUGAUCUCCAAUGGAAUUUUUUUCUUCAACUGUGCAUCCAAAGGGAGUCUCGAAAAAUAUCCAAAAGACACAACCAAAGUGACCUGACAAAUCAUAGUCUAAACUCCCAAAAUAGCAUAACAGCCCACCUGAAGAUCGAGCAAUCCAGAUUUGUCCACUCGGCCAGGGCUCUCCCCUCAUGAGCUGAUACUUUCUUCAUCUAAAGCAAUUACUUCGGACUCGAAAGAAGGAGACAAGUAUUAUGGGGUCGUACCAUCUUAGCUGUGGACCUCAAGACUCAUCCCCUGAUCCUAGAGUGGUAGAGAUACCAAGAUGACAAAUCUAACUGCCAUCAACCUCUGAGCUGACCUUCGAGGCCCCAAGGAUGGGGGUUCACCAACUACCAAGGGUGAGGCCUCAUGGUCCAUAUUGGUGGAAAUCCUCGUCUGAUCUGAAGAGACAGACAAGUCAGGCCGUGGCCAACCCAUGUAUCGACCAUUGACCCAUACAUCAGCUACCAACCUGUAUGCCGAUUUUUAACUUCUCGCUAGCACCCUCACUCAAGUCACAGAUCCAAGGACUAGGCGUCAGGUCAUGCUUCCUUUGACCCCUGUCGAUCACCAUAUUUGGAAAGACUGAUGGGAGACCCUCAGCAAUCCCA